Molecule: long non-coding RNA, 657 nt
Filed under: Rattus norvegicus (Norway rat)
Lineage: Eukaryota; Metazoa; Chordata; Mammalia; Rodentia; Muridae
Description: long non-coding RNA NONRATT005247
Source: RNAcentral
GUGUUGGUGGCCUGGUAUGACUUUUUUAUUAGAAGUAGGCAAGGAGGUCUGUGACCAUACAACACCGAAUACAGCCUAACUGAUGUGCCAUGUCUAGUCUUUUGAAAGGAUCGGUUCACUGCAGGGCUGGAGAAGGGAGGGGUGGGCAGUGCCUCCUAUGGCUAGGGCGUGAGGGACUGCCCUAAGCUGCUACAGAAUCCUGGGCCGUUCCCAAGCCAAGUUCCUAAAAGCUGAGGCUUGGACUUGCUCCCGGGAAGGGCUGCGGAUGCUCACCGUGGUGUGUUUCUGAGCAGGCUGUAGUGUGGAGUCGGCUCUGGAAGCUGCAUCCCUCCACCCCGCCCAGCUGCUGGGGCUGGAGAAGACCAAGGGGAGUCUGGACUUUGGUGCUGAUGCAGACUUUGUGGUGCUCGACGACACUCUCCAUGUCCAGGCCACUUACAUCUCUGGUGAACUGGUGUGGCAGGCAGAGGAAGCUGGGCUGUGACUGAGGGUCUUGGCUGGAAAGGACAUUUGGCUCCAGCUGGACAGUGACAGGCCGGGCAGUCCAUGGAGCUGGUCUCCAAGGAGGAAGCUGAGAGCCCUGCUCCAUGUCUAACCUCAGUCAUCACUUCUGGAGGGGAGGCAGUGGCCUGGAUAAAUACAGACAGCGGGACUUGC